GAUGAACGCUGGCGGCGUGCCUAAUACAUGCAAGUCGAGCGAACAGACGAGGAGCUUGCUCCUCUGACGUUAGCGGCGGACGGGUGAGUAACACGUGGAUAACCUACCUAUAAGACUGGGAUAACUUCGGGAAACCGGAGCUAGUACCGGAUAAUAUAUUGAACCGCAUGGUUCAAUAGUGAAAGACGGUUUUGCUGUCACUUAUAGAUGGAUCCGCGCCGCAUUAGCUAGUUGGUAAGGUAACGGCUUACCAAGGCGACGAUGCGUAGCCGACCUGAGAGGGUGAUCGGCCACACUGGAACUGAGACACGGUCCAGACUCCUACGGGAGGCAGCAGUAGGGAAUCUUCCGCAAAGGGCGAAAGCCUGACGGAGCAACGCCGCGUGAGUGAUGAAGGUCUUCGGAUCGUAAAACUCUGUUAUUAGGGAAGAACAAAUGUGUAAGUAACUAUGCACGUCUUGACGGUACCUAAUCAGAAAGCCACGGCUAACUACGUG
RNAcentral lists this ribosomal RNA (497 nucleotides) under uncultured bacterium. RNAcentral describes it as "partial 16S ribosomal RNA". It matches the Rfam family "Bacterial small subunit ribosomal RNA", at positions 28 to 507 of the family's 1533-position model. The record is from RNAcentral.